Pipra filicauda (Wire-tailed manakin) is the source of this 219-nucleotide long non-coding RNA. RefSeq lists it as uncharacterized. The record is from RefSeq and is a predicted model, not a curated record. The transcript is spliced from 3 exons. Lineage: Eukaryota; Metazoa; Chordata; Aves; Passeriformes; Pipridae.
UAAAGGGACCAACCAAGGGAGGUGAAGAAAGAAGGAAGAAGGGAAGUGAGGCAGCAGCCAAGCAGCACCAAGUUCCUGUGUCAGCAGGUUUUUCCAAGUGCUGCCCAGCACGGGGAUCCGUGUGCUGGGACAGUGAUUGGCAGGAGGAAGGGGAGCCUUGGCCUCACCUGCCCAGCUCAGGCCAGGCCAAAGCCCUGAUCCAGCCCAGCUCUGCCAAGU